UGUCGAAGCGAACGCGUUAAGCAUCCCGCUGAGGACUACGGCCGCAAGGUUAAAACUCAAACGAAUUGACGGGACCCGCACAAGCAGCGGAGCGUGUGGUUUAAUUCGAUGCUACACGAAGAACCUUACCUGGGUUUGACAUCUAGGUGGUAGUGAAGCGAAAGCGGAGCGACCCUUCGGGGAGCCUAGACAGGUGCUGCAUGGCUGUCGUCAGCUCGUGCCGUGAGGUGUCGGGUUAAGUCCCGUAACGAGCGCAACCCUUGCCCUCCGUUAUACGUGUCAGAGGGGACUGCCGGCGGUAAGCCGGAGGAAGGUGGGGAUGACGUCAAGUCAGCAUGGCCUUUAUAUCCAGGGCUACACACACGCUACAAUGGCCAGUACAAAGGGCAGCGAAGCCGCGAGGUGGAGCGAAUCCCAGCAAAGCUGGUCGUAGUUCGGAUUGCAGGCUGCAACCCGCCUGCAUGAAGCUGGAGUUGCUAGUAACCGCGCGUCAGCCAUAGUGCGGUGAAUACGUUCCCGGGGUUUGUACACACCGCCCGUCACGUCAUGGGAGUCGAUAACGCCUGAAGCCGGUGGCCUAGCUCGGAAGAGAGGGCGCUGUCUAAGGCGGGGUCGGUGACUGGGACGAAGUCGUAACAAGGUAACCAAGGGCGAA
This 655-nucleotide ribosomal RNA is filed under the name uncultured organism. RNAcentral's name for it is "bacterial SSU rRNA". It matches the Rfam family "Bacterial small subunit ribosomal RNA", at positions 844 to 1510 of the family's 1533-position model. The record is from RNAcentral.